This 28-nucleotide non-coding RNA is filed under the name Mus musculus (house mouse). The record is from RNAcentral. Lineage: Eukaryota; Metazoa; Chordata; Mammalia; Rodentia; Muridae.
UGGAUACUCGCAUGCCUAAGUUUGUUCC